CAGUCGCCGCGGGAAUACAGAGGGUGCGAGCGUUAAUCGGAAUUACUGGGCGUAAAGCGUGCGCAGGCGGUUUUGUAAGACAGGCGUGAAAUCCCCGGGCUCAACCUGGGAAUGGCGCUUGUGACUGCAAAGCUAGAGUGCGGCAGAGGGGGAUGGAAUUCCGCGUGUAGCAGUGAAAUGCGUAGAUAUGCGGAGGAACACCGAUGGCGAAGGCAAUCCCCUGGGCCUGCACUGACGCUCAUGCACGAAAGCGUGGGGAGCAAACAGGAUUAGAUACCCCCGUAGUCCCUGUCUCUUAUAC
Molecule: ribosomal RNA, 301 nt
Filed under: uncultured bacterium
Lineage: Bacteria
Description: partial 16S ribosomal RNA
Rfam family: Bacterial small subunit ribosomal RNA
Source: RNAcentral